Molecule: long non-coding RNA, 231 nt
Organism: Cydia fagiglandana
Lineage: Eukaryota; Metazoa; Arthropoda; Insecta; Lepidoptera; Tortricidae
Exons: 4
Source: RefSeq, a predicted model, not a curated record
GAACCCGCAGGCGAGUCGGGAAUGCAGGAUGGAGACGGGACCAGUGAGGAGCCUGUGUCGUGUGAAGAGCCCCCGGUCAAACCAGAGACGCUGGAUGAAGAUGAGGCAGCUGAUGAUAUGUUGUAUGACAUGCUCCGGUUAAACAUGGCGGCCGGAGGCGGGGCGAGCGACGAGGGUGAGCCGCUGUUGGUGGAGGAGCGGGCAGUCAAGUCGGAGGUGUCGGACGCGGCG